UAGGGAAUAUUGCGCAAUGGGGGAAACCCUGACGCAGCGACGCCGCGUGAGUGAUGAAGGACUUCGGUUCGUAAAGCUCUGUUGCAUGGGAAUAAGAAAGUGAAUGUACCAUGCGAGUAAGGAUCGGCUAACUUCGUGCCAGCAGCCGCGGUAAGACGAGGGAUCCUAGCGUUGCUCGGAAUCAUUGGGCGUAAAGCGGGUGUAGGUGGCUUGGUAAGUCAGGUGUGAAAGCCCAGGGCUCAACCCUGGAAGUGCAUUUGAAACUGCUAAGCUUGAGUGCCAGAGAGGUUAUUAGAAUACCUAGUGUAGUGGUGAAAUACGUAGAUAUUAGGUGGAACACCGGAGGCGAAGGCGGAUAACUGGCUGGACACUGACACUGAGACCCGAAAGUGCGGGGAUC
RNAcentral lists this ribosomal RNA (400 nucleotides) under uncultured bacterium. Its description in RNAcentral is "bacterial SSU rRNA". It matches the Rfam family "Bacterial small subunit ribosomal RNA", at positions 355 to 769 of the family's 1533-position model. The record is from RNAcentral.